AGAACGAACGCUGGCGGCAUGCCUAACACAUGCAAGUCGAACGCUCUUGGGAUUUCGGUCUCAAGGGAGUGGCGCACGGGUGAGUAGCGCGUGGGAACCUGCCCUGUUGUGGGGGAUAACCUAGAGAAAUCUGGGCUAAUACCGCAUAAUACCUUCGGGUCAAAGGAGCAAUUCGCUUAAGGAGGGGUCGCGGCCGAUUAGUUAGUUGGCGGGGUAAUGGCCCACCAAGACUAUGAUCGGUA
RNAcentral lists this ribosomal RNA (242 nucleotides) under uncultured bacterium. RNAcentral's name for it is "partial small subunit ribosomal RNA". It matches the Rfam family "Bacterial small subunit ribosomal RNA", at positions 26 to 285 of the family's 1533-position model. The record is from RNAcentral.